Panicum virgatum (switchgrass) is the source of this 2385-nucleotide long non-coding RNA. RefSeq lists it as uncharacterized. Lineage: Eukaryota; Viridiplantae; Streptophyta; Magnoliopsida; Poales; Poaceae. The transcript is spliced from 2 exons. The record is from RefSeq and is a predicted model, not a curated record.
AGAUCCACGCCAGACGACUUGAUGCGGCGGCCACCGCACCGCCAGGGGCCGGUCGCCCCCCUCCCUCUCGGCGCGCGCUCGGUGGCCCAGGUGCCCCUCACGCUCUCCCUCUUGUUCCCCAUCCACCAUCCAGCUCACCGCCCCCGGAUCGGUCGCCUCCUCACCAAGCGCGCCGCCGUGGGAUCCUCGCCGGCCGGCCGCUGCUGCAGGGGUCCUCCUCAUGGCCCCUGGAGGUCUGGACUGGCCGCAGCCGCCGCGGAGUCUUCGGUGCUCGUCCGCCGCUGCGGGAUCCUUGCCGUCCUUCUACCCAGGCCAACCCUCCAUCUUCACAUCGCCGUCAUAGCCUCCUCUGCUAGCUACAGCCUUCGGUGCUGCGCUCCCCAACCCCGCCCGAGCUCUUCUCGGUGCAAGCGCCGUGCGGCCGCCGGCGUUCCGCCAUUGCUGCUCGCCUCCCACUCCUCUGACUUCGCAAAACCGCGCGGUCCUCGUGUGCCCUCCCGUCGCCGUUGUUGUCGCAGUGAAGGUUAACGUUGUUCCUGACCUCGACCAAGACGAGCGCCUACACAACUCCCCCCAACUGCAUCAGCACUCGCUGUCCAAGCACACCUUAGAUUCCCUACAUGCCAUCGACCUCGGCCACCUCUGCCCCACCUUCCCGGACACUACAAGUGCUGCUGCUUGCUGCUUGCCGCUGCCUACCUCUCCUCUACGGCCGUGCUACCAUCGUUCAACCCAGGUAUCCUCAGUCCUCUUGCUAUCUCUCUGAUUUUAGACCAAAGGCCAAAACUUUGGCCCUGCUUAUAUUGAAAGCAGAAUGUUUACGGCUGGGGGUUCCAGCUUUACAAUUCAGAGCUCUAUCUCUCUGAUUUCCCAACUUGUGAUUUGGUUCCUAUUCUCGGGUUUGGACCACAAUAUACCGCUGCCACCUCUAAACAUGUACUCUUGAAUAGAAUCACCCAAGCAAGUUUAAUGGGACUAAAUGGGUGCUUGAUCAAGGUUGUUGUACCCAUACGUCCAUGCACGCAAUCUGUUUGACUAAAUGCUUCAUAUGCUUGUUUAUUUCACUUAUGCAUAAAACAUACUGACUAGGUUUCAAUCCUGUAAUCUACAUAAAUUCCUUCUUUUAUAUGUGAUUGACAACUCGUCUUGGUUUUGUAGUAAGAAUCAACAACUAAUGCAAUGAACACACAUGAUAUAAAUUAUCUCAGAAGUACACAUACACCUGCAGUUCUAUACAAUGUUUACUUCAACAUACUUUAGGAGAAAUUUAGAUAUUUUGUUGUGAAAUAAAAAAAUAGCAAUGAGCCACAGUUCAGAACUUGAGAUAUCUUCUUGGAAUUCUGGUUAUCAUCUUGGUAUUCACAAUAAAUGUUGUGAUCCAUUGAAAGAUAAUCACUUCAUUAAUCCAAAAGGGAAAAACAAAUGACCAUGUUGAUUUUCAAAUUCCAUGUGUUUUGGAUUACCACCAGGUAUGAGCAAGUAGUCACAAAGAUUUAUAUUUAAAAACAACUGAUUUAUGGGUGCAUUGCUCAAUGCAAGAGAUAAACUACAGAUUUUAAUGCCACAUCUUACCUGCGUCAAUUACCUGAUGGCAGCAGCUACUGCAAAUGGAGAACAGGGACAAACUGAUGACUAUCAGGCGACUUUCGGCGUCAACUUUUGUGAAUUUAAUUGAACUGAAUUCUUUUGACCUGCCUUGUUACAUAAACUUAUCUAGCACGGCUCAAAAACAAGUUUGCCAAUAGCUACAAACUAACCUGAGGUUUUACCUUAUUGUUAUUUUCUUCAAGCUGUCAUUAACAUGAAGACAGUACAUAUUUAAUCAUGAUGAUAUAUAAUUUGUCCAACAAUGCCAAUAUGACAUGAAUCUCAAGUACAGGUAGGUGAGUCAUGAGUAUCAAGAUGAAGAUAGUACUAAAUCUGUUAUUUUUUCCAUUUCCAACUCUUUGAACUACAUACUCUCUUAACUCUUCCUAGAGUUAUUCAAUGUAAAAUAGGAUAUGCCCUAAAUAUUUGUGGACUUGCUCUCAUCACAGCAUGCAUCUAAUAGGACUCUUUUAAUGUUCAAUAAUUUCAACUGCAGCAAUUCAAAGCGGAUGCCUUAAGUUUGGCAAACACCCUUCUUUGGAAACCACAAGAGAACACUGCAAAGAUAAUUAAGGGAACAGAAAUUAUAAGCUGCUCGAUGACAUUAAUGACGGUCUCAUUUGGCAUGAGUGCAAUUUAAAUCCCUGUCCCUAUAUAUGUAAUGAGUAGUUUGUUAUUCAAAAUAUUCCAAACAUUUGUUAAUUGGGAAUUUUAUAUCCAUGCUGUUAUUCAAAAUAUUCCAAAUCAAUUGUUAAUCGGAAAGUAUAUAUCCAUGCUGCUUUCAGAGGCAUAAAUCCA